AUGACAUAUUUAUCGUCCUCUAAACUCUAUGAGUUUCCUGGCAGCAGCUGCUCACUCCUCUACACAGCCACGACCGCACGGCCAGCCGCUUCUCCGAGCGCGCGCCGCCUCCGCCGCCCACGCGCGCUGCCGGAGACGGCGCUGGUGGCGGCCGGGGUGGCGGCGGCGGGGGUGGCCGCCGCCGUGCUCCUGCGGGGCGACCGGAAGGCGGAGCAGCCGGCGCCCACAGAGAAGCAGGAGGCGUCGGAGGAGUGCUCCGCGUGCGGCGGGAGCGGCCUCUGCCCGCGGUGCAAGGGGGAGGGGUUCGUGUUCAAGGAGGUCGGCGAGGAGGCGGCCGGCCGGGCGCGGCGGGCCGCCAAGAACAUGGCCACCCGCUACACCGCCGGCCUCCCCACCAAGUGGACCUACUGCACCCGCUGCUCCUCCACCCGCUCCUGCACCGCCUGCGACGGCUCCGGCGCCGUCCCCUUCCGCGCCAAGACCACCACCACCACCAAUUAG
Molecule: ribosomal RNA, 501 nt
Filed under: Triticum aestivum (bread wheat)
Lineage: Eukaryota; Viridiplantae; Streptophyta; Magnoliopsida; Poales; Poaceae
Description: partial small subunit ribosomal RNA
Source: RNAcentral